CCUACGGGUGGCAGCAGUGAGGAAUAUUGGUCAAUGGACGGAAGUCUGAACCAGCCAUGCCGCGUGCGGGAAGACGGCACUAUGAGUUGUAAACCGCUUUUGUACGAGGAUAAACGCAGAUACGUGUCUCUGUCUGAAAGUAUCGUACGAAUAAGCAUCGGCUAACUCCGUGCCAGCAGCCGCGGUAAUACGGAGGAUUCGAGCGUUAUCCGGAUUUAUUGGGUUUAAAGGGUGCGUAGGCGGUCGUAUAAGUUAGCGGUGAAAUCCCGGGGCUCAACUUCGGAAUUGCCGUUGAUACUGGUAGGCUAGAGAGGAGUUGAGGUAGGCGGAAUGUAUGGUGUAGCGGUGAAAUGCUUAGAGAUCAUACAGAACACCGAUUGCGAAGGCAGCUUGCCAAGUUACUUCUGACGUUGAGGCACGAAAGCGUGGGGAGCAAACAGGAUUAGAUACCCCAGUAGUA
Molecule: ribosomal RNA, 460 nt
Filed under: uncultured bacterium
Lineage: Bacteria
Description: partial 16S ribosomal RNA
Rfam family: Bacterial small subunit ribosomal RNA
Source: RNAcentral